GAACAUCUUUUCCAUCAUCACCUCCAUCAUAAUUUUCUCCAUUUGCCUGUGAGCUUGUGCCUGUUGUAUUGUCCUUUUGCAAAAGACAACACAGAGAAUUCACCCUUGACAUGAGGGAUUUCUCAUCAGAGGCUGUUGUAAAUUGAGUGUCACUAAGAAGGUAUUGUGCAAUAUCCUCCAGCAUUUCCUGGCAGUCUGGUCUAUUUUCAGAGGAUGGAUUUUCGGAGGUCAUGUGUUCUGAAAGACGGUGUCCAAUGUGGUUCAUAAGAUCACUCAUGGACAUAGAAGGGUGAAGUCCCGGCACUUUUAUCUGGUCCCAAUUUCUAGGCCCCUUUGAAUCCACUGCUUCACAAACUCC
This 358-nucleotide long non-coding RNA is filed under the name Gossypium barbadense (sea-island cotton). Its description in RNAcentral is "long non-coding RNA (GBAR_LNC007161)". Lineage: Eukaryota; Viridiplantae; Streptophyta; Magnoliopsida; Malvales; Malvaceae. The record is from RNAcentral.